AUCUAACUGAAGAGUCUCAAAUAGGAUGAAACGCGUAUCCUGGAU
Molecule: non-coding RNA, 45 nt
Organism: Schistosoma haematobium
Lineage: Eukaryota; Metazoa; Platyhelminthes; Trematoda; Strigeidida; Schistosomatidae
Source: Rfam